This 60-nucleotide transfer RNA is filed under the name Dipodomys ordii (Ord's kangaroo rat). It matches the Rfam family "tRNA", at positions 7 to 64 of the family's 71-position model. From Rfam's summary of the family: Transfer RNA (tRNA) molecules are approximately 80 nucleotides in length. Their secondary structure includes four short double-helical elements and three loops (D, anti-codon, and T loops). Lineage: Eukaryota; Metazoa; Chordata; Mammalia; Rodentia; Heteromyidae. The record is from Rfam by way of RNAcentral.
GUGGCUCAGUGGUAGAGUACUUGCCUAGCAUGCAUGAAGCCCUGGGUUCGAUUCCUCAGC